This is a non-coding RNA of Cebus imitator (Panamanian white-faced capuchin), 1024 nucleotides long. Lineage: Eukaryota; Metazoa; Chordata; Mammalia; Primates; Cebidae. The record is from the annotation of a RefSeq genome assembly.
AGUGCCUUUUCUCAGGGAAGAGGCCAUCACUUUAAGAUGCUGACUCUCCUACUCCUUCUCCUGGGACAAGGUUCUGUGUUUGGUGCUGUCGUCUCUCAAAAGCCAAGCAGGGGCAUCUGUCAACAUGGAACCUCCAUGACAAUCCAGUGUCAUGUCGAUAGCCAAGUCAACUUGAUGUUCUGGUACCGUCAGCUCCCCAGACAGAGCAUGACACUGAUUGCAACUGCAAAUCAGGGCUCUGGGGCCACAUAUGAGAAAGGAUUUGCUGAAGACAAGUUUCCCAUUAGCCGCCCAAGUCUAACAUUCUCAACUCUGAAUGUGAGCAACAUGAGUCCCGAAGACAGCGGCAUAUACUUCUGCAGUGCUGGAGACACAGUGCUGGGCACAGAUCAAAGAUCUGAGCAAGAACCUUAGCUCCCUCCUACCCAGCUCCCCUCACAUGAGCCUGAGGGCCCUGCCAAGAUGAAACGGAGGGAAGAAACCACAGCUCCUGGGCAGACACAGCUGUUUCUGUGCUUGCAGGUGAGCAUGGGUAUGAAUGGGUAGACUGGGGAUAAGAAGAGCAUCUCUAGGACUAGCUGGGGAGUUCUGUCCACAGGCAGGAAGAGUGGCUCCUGGAAAGUUGAGGGUAAAAUUUCUUCCAGAUGAAUGCUCAGAAAUACCCAACAAAAACAAUCAGAUACAGUUUUCUUCAAAUGGCAGCCUUUAACUGUUUUAUCUCCAUGCUCUAUUUAGUUGGUGUUUGAUCACAAUAUAUUUUGGAAGAACUUUAGUCAUCUUGAAACAAAGCUGGUACAUUACAUUGAUGACAUCUGGUUGUUCUCAGUGAAUAGGAAUUAUAAAGUCCUCUAGAUGCCUUGAUAUGACACAUGCAUCCCAAGUCAAUAUAAAAUCUUCAAAGUUCAGGAACCUUCUAUAAUGGUGAGUUUGGGAGUGGUCCGCAGGUUUGGGGCAUGUUGAAAUAUCUCCUCUAAUGUGAGAAGUAAGCUGCCGUGCCUUAGGUCAUCUACCACAAAGGAAGAGG